RNAcentral lists this transfer RNA (85 nucleotides) under bacterium. RNAcentral's name for it is "tRNA-Leu". It matches the Rfam family "tRNA". Rfam says of the family: Transfer RNA (tRNA) molecules are approximately 80 nucleotides in length. Their secondary structure includes four short double-helical elements and three loops (D, anti-codon, and T loops). The record is from RNAcentral. RNAcentral also lists the same sequence under 2 other names.
GCCGGGAUGGCGGAAUGGCAGACGCUACGGACUUAAAAUCCGUUGGAAAGUAAUUUCCGUGAGGGUUCAAAUCCCUCUCCCGGCA